Tarenaya hassleriana is the source of this 175-nucleotide long non-coding RNA. RefSeq lists it as uncharacterized. The record is from RefSeq and is a predicted model, not a curated record. The transcript is spliced from 3 exons. NCBI's taxonomy places the organism in Eukaryota, Viridiplantae, Streptophyta, Magnoliopsida, Brassicales, Cleomaceae.
AAAGAGCUCGGUUUACUCACAGAGGCGCUUUACUCAAAAACCUUUUUGUUUCAACAGAGCAAGUUCCAAAGUAGCAAAGCAGGAGAUAUAUCAUGAAGUUACUGGGCUGGAUGCACCGGAAGUUCAGACAGAAUAGCAAUGAAUCACUCAAGGAUUUUGUCAUUGAAAAUUCUGG